This is a non-coding RNA of Nycticebus coucang (slow loris), 624 nucleotides long. The record is from the annotation of a RefSeq genome assembly. Lineage: Eukaryota; Metazoa; Chordata; Mammalia; Primates; Lorisidae.
GCGUGUCUGCCUCAGCAGAGCUCUGGGGUGUCUGCACCAUGGCCUGGACCCCAUUCCUCCUCCUCACCCUCCUCCUUCACUGCACAGGGUCCCUCUCCCAGCUUGCACUGACUCAGCUGCCCUCUGCAUCAGCCUCCCUGGGAGCUUCGGUCAAGCUCACCUGCACCCUGGACAGUGGGCACAGCAGCUAUGACAUCGCAUGGCACCAGAAGCAGCCACAGAAGGCCCCUCGGUACUUGACGUAUCUUAGCAGUGCUGGAACCAGCAGCAAGGGGGACGGGAUCCCUGACCGCUUCUCAGGCUCCAGCUCUGGGGCUGACCGCUACUUGACCAUCUCCAACCUCCAGUCUGAGGAUGAGGCUGAUUAUUACUGUGGAAGUGGUGACAGCAGUGGUUUACACAGUGACACAGGCAGAUAAGGAAGUGGGACAAAAACCUCCGCCUGCUCGGGGUCUUGUUCUAUGUUAAUUUUUAAAUUGUAAAAUCUGUUCCAUGUACUCAAACUGUACUUGAAAGCAACUCUGGUUUAAAAUACUUUUUCUCUCAAUUUCACAUUCACGGUUCCUGAAGUCUGAGGAAAACUAAAACAGAAACAAAAACAAAUCUGGUGACUGUGUCUGUGGA